UACCAGCUCUCCGAGUGGUUAGGGAUGAUUAUUGGGCUUAAAGCGUCCGUAGCCGGCUUAGCAAGUUUCCUGUUAAAUUCAGCGACCUAAUCGUUGAGCCGCGGGAAAUACUACUAGGCUAGGAGGCGGGAGAGGUCGACGGUACUUCUGGGGUAGGGGUGAAAUCCUAUAAUCCCGGGAGGACCACCAGUGGCGAAGGCUGUCGACUAGAACGCGCUCGACGGUGAGGGACGAAAGCUGGGGGAGCGAACCGGAUUAGAUACCCGGGUAGUCCCAGCUGUAAACGAUGCGGGCUAGGUGUUGGGGUGGCUACGUGCCACUUCAGUGCCGCAGGGAAGCCAUUAAGCCCGCCGCCUGGGGAGUACGGCCGCAAGGCUGAAACUUAAAGGAAUUGGCGGGGGAGCACCACAAGGCGUGAAGCUUGCGGUUC
This 430-nucleotide ribosomal RNA is filed under the name uncultured archaeon. RNAcentral describes it as "bacterial SSU rRNA". It matches the Rfam family "Archaeal small subunit ribosomal RNA", at positions 474 to 903 of the family's 1478-position model. The record is from RNAcentral.